Molecule: ribosomal RNA, 799 nt
Filed under: Staphylococcus hominis
Lineage: Bacteria; Bacillati; Bacillota; Bacilli; Caryophanales; Staphylococcaceae
Description: partial 23S ribosomal RNA
Rfam family: Bacterial large subunit ribosomal RNA
Source: RNAcentral
CACAAGUUAUGUUGUGUUAUCGACAAGUGAAUUCAUAGCUUGUCAGAAGGCAGACCCGGAGAACUGAAACAUCUUAGUACCCGGAGGAAGAGAAAGAAAAUUCGAUUCCCUGAGUAGCGGCGAGCGAAACGGGAAGAGCCCAAACCAAUAAGCUUGCUUAUUGGGGUUGUAGGACACUCUAUACGGAGUUACAAAGGAAUAUAUUAAACGAAUCAUCUGGAAAGUUGAAUCAAAGAAGGUAAUAAUCCUGUAGUUGAAAAUAUAUUCUCUCUUGAGUGGAUCCUGAGUACGACGGAGCACGUGAAAUUCCGUCGGAAUCUGGGAGGACCAUCUCCUAAGGCUAAAUACUCUCUAGUGACCGAUAGUGAACCAGUACCGUGAGGGAAAGGUGAAAAGUACCCCGGAAGGGGAGUGAAAGAGAACUUGAAACCGUGUGCUUACAAGUAGUCAGAGCCCGUUAAUGGGUGAUGGCGUGCCUUUUGUAGAAUGAACCGGCGAGUUACGAUCUGAUGCAAGGUUAAGCAGAAAAUGUGGAGCCGUAGCGAAAGCGAGUCUGAAUAGGGCGUAUAGUAUUUGGUCGUAGACCCGAAACCAGGUGAUCUACCCAUGGUCAGGUUGAAGUUCAGGUAACACUGAAUGGAGGACCGAACCGACUUACGUUGAAAAGUGAGCGGAUGAACUGUGGGUAGCGGAGAAAUUCCAAUCGAACUUGGAGAUAGCUGGUUCUCUCCGAAAUAGCUUUAGGGCUAGCCUCAAGUGAUGAUUAUUGGAGGUAGAGCACUGUUUGGACGAGGGGCCC